Molecule: transfer RNA, 74 nt
Filed under: Capra hircus (goat)
Lineage: Eukaryota; Metazoa; Chordata; Mammalia; Artiodactyla; Bovidae
Also listed under: 1 other name
Rfam family: tRNA
About the family: Transfer RNA (tRNA) molecules are approximately 80 nucleotides in length. Their secondary structure includes four short double-helical elements and three loops (D, anti-codon, and T loops). Further hydrogen bonds mediate the characteristic L-shaped molecular structure. tRNAs have two regions of fundamental functional importance: the anti-codon, which is responsible for specific mRNA codon recognition, and the 3' end, to which the tRNAs corresponding amino acid is attached (by aminoacyl-tRNA synthetases). tRNAs cope with the degeneracy of the genetic code in two manners: having more than one tRNA (with a specific anti-codon) for a particular amino acid; and 'wobble' base-pairing, i.e. permitting non-standard base-pairing at the 3rd anti-codon position.
Source: Rfam by way of RNAcentral
UCCCUGGCAGUCUAAUGAUUAUGACUCUGUAUUUCCACUGCAAAGGGGCACAGGUUCGAUCCCUGAUCUGGGAA